Dreissena polymorpha is the source of this 2147-nucleotide long non-coding RNA. RefSeq lists it as uncharacterized. NCBI's taxonomy places the organism in Eukaryota, Metazoa, Mollusca, Bivalvia, Myida, Dreissenidae. The record is from RefSeq and is a predicted model, not a curated record. The transcript has 3 exons.
CAGGAAGUUAACUACGGCCUUAUUUCGUUUUCAUGUUCUUAUCAUUUUCAAGUCUCUUUUCGCAAUGAAAGUCAGUUUGGGCAGGCCGGUGAAGUGCAGAUACUACGGAAAGACAUGCUAAUUUCAAACUUAAAACAUGGCGAUUUCGGACAGGAUUGAAGCUGCAUUUACCCUCUCGCCAGGGACAAUAUACAACUAGAAAUGGAGCGGCAGAUACCGACGCGUAUCCCCACGCCGCAUGUUUGACCCAGGGGACACCCCAGGGAUGCGCUUACAAACGUCCAAAUUUACAAAGAGUUUGGUAUAUCCAACAACCCCAAUUCCAGUGGCUGUCAACGUCAGCAUCGAGGAUUGUAAUAGCAACUGUUGGUAUUACAGCAACAGCUCAUCAACCCGGCAACACGAGAAGGUGGACAUACAGGCGUUUCUCUAUAUAGUGGUUGUUAUCCUCUUCUACGCCAGCAGUAUUGUCCUCCUGCUGAUCAAGUCAUGAGGAAUGAUGACGAGGAGGUCAACCUCAAAUAUCAGUAUUCGGAGUUCGUCAAGCGUGAACGGUUUCAGUCUGCGCAGUACAAGAACAUGCUAGCCCUCCAGAGGACCCAAGCAGUGUUGAAAAACAUGGCCCCAGAGUUGCUUACACAUAUUGGUAACUACCCAAUGAUCAUCGUUAGCGACUUCGAUAGAGAGGUGACCAUGCCGAUUGAUCGCAGUGACAUCAGUCAUCGUUACUCAUGUCUAUCUUCAUUAAAGAGCGUAAGCACCAUUGUUCUGAAUGAAAACAGUGAAGGCAAUCUUUCAAGAGCGUGUUUGGAUAAUGAUAACGAUAUUGAGAGUGAAGCUGGGUACAACACAUGCACUAGCUCCCCGACCAAUCAAAGCUUAAACAGUGCUGUAUGGCAUGUAGGUAUGAAUCCCUCUGUGUACUUCGAUGCAGUGGAGAGGGGGUAUAGACCAAUAUUGAUUGCACAGUCGUAUCGGCCGACUCCUGGAAGACCAAGGUGCUCAAGUGUUUAGUACAUUUGUUUCUACUGCAGUACAUUGUUUAUCAUAAGUUUUUUUCUAUGAAAACUGGGCUUAAUAAAUGGGCGUAAAGCAUCAUUAGCCUAUGUGUUCCAUUUUUAUGGAGUUUUUCAUCUAAAGGAAGUCUCUUCUAAACAAACAUCCUGUUUAGUCGUCCCUGAUAAGCAUGUGCAGACUGCACCGGCUAAUCUGGGACAAUACUUUACGCACAUGAAUUUAGGCCAGUUCUUAUAGAACAAGGCUUAUGUACUUUUCUACCAGUGCUGUAACGUCUAUCCAAUUCUUUUUUUUUUUUGAUUUGCAGGCAAAAAUCAAUCUUUAACUUUAUUGACUUGCAUUUUCACUUUGAAUUUUUGUUUUUCUCACUUUUGCUUUCAGUUUCAGCACACAGAUUUUGCAGUCUGUGACUAGUUUGAUUUUUCUGAUUUAUCUGUGGUUUUGUCAGUGCACAUGUCUCGGACCAAAUAUAGUGGAAGUGGUAUUAUUUCUUAAGAAAUACUUACAUACUUGUCAAUAAAUUAUACUAUUUGGUAUCAAAAUUGUUUUAAGUUAAACUUUGCCUGUGGACAAAACGAGAGCUUUCUAACAAUUCUUCAGUAUUGAUUGUAUAAUUAAUAGUUUCUGUCAGAAACUAAACAUAAUGACCCAGAAAACUGACAUGAUGUUCCCAUUGAAUAUAAGUAGUAAAUUAAAGAGGUAUAGUACGCUAAACUUGUACCAGAACUUUAUAAAAGUAAACACUUGCAUACAUAUAGCAAGCCACUUAAAACUGAUUUGUUUACGUACAGAAGGGUCUUUUUUCUGCUGAAAAUGAAGGUCAAAGUUUUUUCCCUUGAGAAGUUUCCACAAAUAAUGAACAUGAAACUGUGGAAUCUUAAAAACAAAACGAGCAAUAAAGCUGCUUAAAUGUUGCCUUGGUCAAUGAUAUAUUUCACAUUGCCAACGGAUAUGUUUUUUUCAUUAUUACUUGUUAAACACAAAAUUUAGUAUACAUUCCAGACAAAAGUGCAUACAGAUAUUUUUUAUAACUCUUACUAAAGCAAUCUUUCUUCUUUAAUGAGGAUCUCUAUUUGGAAAACCAUGAAAAAAAAAACAAUUUUGAUGCAUUACCAUUCUAUUUUCUACAG